AGAAAAAUUCUAGUUUUCUCCUGCUUGGCUGCGGAGGACGUUAGGGUGGGCUCAGCGCGGGGGCUGCAGGCAGAAGUGGGCCCAGAGGACAAGGUCGAGGUUAGAGCCAGGCCUGUGGGCCGGGCUACGGGCAAGUGGCGGGGCCCACUCUCGGGGGCGGCGAGGAAGGUGGGGCCAGGCCCAGAGGAAAAGGUUGAAGUUACAGCCAGGCCUGCCGGCGAGGCCACAGGGGGACGGGCCGUAGGGGAAGGAGCCGAUGUGUUAUGCAUCUAGAAAAUACACAAAGUCUCACUUUGUCACCAAGGCUGGAGUUCAGUGGAGCCAUCUCAGCUCACUGCAACCUCUGCCUCUCAGGUUCAAGCGAUUCUCCUGCCUCAGCCUCCCAAGUAGCUGGGAUUACAGGCACAUCCAGCCACACCCUGCUAAUUUUUGUAUUUUUAGUAGAGACAGGGUUUUGCCAUGCUGGCCAGGUUGGUCUUGAGCUCCUUGUCAGGCUUCUGGGCACAGGCUAAGCCAUCAUAACCCCUCUGACCUGCAGGUAUACAUCCAGAUGGCCAGGAGCAACUGAAGAACCAUAAAAGAAGUGAAACAGCCAGUUCCUGCCUUAACUGAUGAUGUUCCACCAUUGUGAUUUGUUCCUGCCCCACCCCAACUGAUCUCUUGACCUUGUGACAUUCUUCUCCUGGACAAUGAGUCUCAGGAGUUCCCCACCCAGCACCUCAUGACCCCUGCCCCUGCCUGCAAAAAAUAACCACCUUUGACUGUAACUUUCCCUUACCUACCUAAAUCCUGUAAAACUGCCCCACCCCUAUCUCCCUUUGCUGACUCCUUUCUCAGACUCAGCCCACUUACACCCAAGUGAAUAAACAGCCUUGUUGCU
Molecule: long non-coding RNA, 880 nt
Organism: Cercocebus atys (sooty mangabey)
Lineage: Eukaryota; Metazoa; Chordata; Mammalia; Primates; Cercopithecidae
Exons: 2
Source: RefSeq, a predicted model, not a curated record